This 497-nucleotide ribosomal RNA is filed under the name uncultured bacterium. Its description in RNAcentral is "partial 16S ribosomal RNA". It matches the Rfam family "Bacterial small subunit ribosomal RNA", at positions 28 to 507 of the family's 1533-position model. The record is from RNAcentral.
GAUGAACGCUGGCGGCGUGCCUAAUACAUGCAAGUCGAGCGAACGGACGAGGAGCUUGCUUCUCUGAUGUUAGCGGCGGACGGGUGAGUAACACGUGGAUAACCUACCUAUAAGACUGGGAUAACUUCGGGAAACCGGAGCUAAUACCGGAUGAUAUUUUGAACCGCAUGGUUCAAAAGUGAAAGACGGUCUUGCUGUCACUUAUAGAUGGAUCCGCGCUGCAUUAGCUAGUUGGUAAGGUAACGGCUUACCAAGGAAACGAUGCAUAGCCGACCUGAGAGGGUGAUCGGCCACACUGGAACUGAGACACGGUCCAGACUCCUACGGGAGGCAGCAGUAGGGAAUCUUCCGCAAUGGGCGAAAGCCUGACGGAGCAACGCCGCGUGAGUGAUGAAGGUCUUCGGAUCGUAAAACUCUGUUAUUAGGGAAGAACAUAUGUGUAAGUAACUGUGCACAUCUUGACGGUACCUAAUCAGAAAGCCACGGCUAACUACGUG